AACGAACGCUGGCGGCAUGCCUAACACAUGCAAGUCGAACGAGACCUUCGGGUCUAGUUGCGCACGGGUGCGUAACGCGUGGGAACCUUCCCUUAGGUUCGGAAUAACUCCCCGAAAGGGGUGCUAAUACCGGAUAAUGUCUUCGGACCAAAGAUUUAUCGCCUUUGGAUGGGCCCGCGUUUGUUUUGCUAGUUGGUAGGGUAAAAGCCUACCAAGGCGACGAUCCAUAGCUGGUCUGAGAGGAUGAUCAGCCACACUGGGACUGAGACACGGCCCAGACUCCUACGGGAGGGAGCAGUGGGGAAUAUUGGACAAUGGGAGAGAGCCUGAUCCGGCAAUGCCGCGUGAGUGAUGAAGGCAUUAGGGUUGUAAAGCUCUUUUACCCGGGAUGAUAAUGACAGUACCGGGAGAAUAAGCACCGGCUAACUCCGUG
This 433-nucleotide ribosomal RNA is filed under the name uncultured bacterium. RNAcentral's name for it is "partial 16S ribosomal RNA". It matches the Rfam family "Bacterial small subunit ribosomal RNA", at positions 29 to 507 of the family's 1533-position model. The record is from RNAcentral.